GAUGAACGCUGGCGGCGUGCCUAAUACAUGCAAGUCGAGCGAACAGACGAGGAGCUUGCUCCUCUGACGUUAGCGGCGGACGGGUGAGUAACACGUGGAUAACCUACCUAUAAGACUGGGAUAACUUCGGGAAACCGGAGCUAAUACCGGAUAAUAUAUUGAACCGCAUGGUUCAAUAGUGAAAGACGGUUUUGCUGUCACUGAUAGAUGGAUCCGCGCCGCAUUAGCUAGUUGGUAAGGUAACGGCUUACCAAGGCAACGAUGCGUAGCCGACCUGAGAGGGUGAUCGGCCACACUGGAACUGAGCCCCGGUCCAGACUCCUACGGGAGGCAGCAGUGGGGAAUCUUCCGCAAUGGGCGAAAUCCUGACGGAGCAACGCCGCGUGAGUGAUGAAGGUCUUCGGAUCGUAAAACUCUGUUAUUAGUGAAGAACAAAUGUGUAAGUAACUAUGCACGUCUUGACGGUACCUAAUCAGAAAGCCACGGCUAACUACGUG
RNAcentral lists this ribosomal RNA (497 nucleotides) under uncultured bacterium. Its description in RNAcentral is "partial 16S ribosomal RNA". It matches the Rfam family "Bacterial small subunit ribosomal RNA", at positions 28 to 507 of the family's 1533-position model. The record is from RNAcentral.